This is a non-coding RNA of Notechis scutatus (mainland tiger snake), 866 nucleotides long. The record is from RefSeq and is a predicted model, not a curated record. NCBI's taxonomy places the organism in Eukaryota, Metazoa, Chordata, Lepidosauria, Squamata, Elapidae.
AAAAACAUAGGUCACCGUAAGCUCUUGUACUAAAUGAUAGCAUUGGCAAAUGAAUCCAAGGUCAUGGGGGAUAAAGGGAAAAAAACCUGGGAAAUUGUGUUAGAAUCUUGGGAAGCAAAAGGAUAUUAAACUGUAUUGAAAUGAAUUCAUGAAAAUAAGAGGACUUUUAAACAAUAGGAUAAGAUUAAAAGUAGGGAAGAAAACUGCUAUACAGUCUGUAGCCUUGAUUUGAUAUUCCACGCUAUUGUUCAAAGCUACUGUGAGAGAGCAGAAAUUGUUCUUGUGAUUUUCAUCAUUGCAUUGGGUUUUUUUCUUUGCUCCUUUCCUUCAUAGUAAAGAUUUGUAGGCAGUAUGUUCACAGGUGUAUUGUUAAAUAAAAACUUAUGUACAGUAGUAUGUUUUCUGUUAUUGGAUUUCCAAAAUCUGAACUAGAUCUGAGCAAAUCCCUCAUGAAUAGUGUUGAGAAAUGUAUUUGAUAACUUCAAAAGGGUUACCUCAGCCAACAAGAAGCUGUGCGCAUAUCCUAAUUACAGGAAUAAUCUGAUGCACUAAAAGCAUUGUUUUAUUUUGCAGAAUCUUCCAAUGCAACGUUAUUGACCAACGCAGAAAAAAUUGCUACAAUUACAACUACACAUACUCCUCAACAAAUGCCACAGGAGAACAGAAACAAUGCAAAGACAAAACAGGAAUCCCAGUUUGAUUUCAAAGCACCAACAGCCUCCCAGCCAGAACAAGAUUUUUACACUGUGGAACUUGAAAGAGGAGCUAAAGGAUUUGGCUUCAGUCUGCGAGGUGGCCGAGAAUAUAACAUGGAUCUCUAUGUCUUGCGGUUAGCAGAAGAUGGGCCUGCUGAGAGAUGUGGAAAA